GGGCCCGCACAAGCAGUGGAGCAUGUGGUUUAAUUCGAUGCAACGCGAAGAACCUUACCAGGGUUUAAAUGCAGAACGACAGGGGUGGAAACACCCCCUUCUUCGGACGGACUGCAAGGUGCUGCAUGGUUGUCGUCAGCUCGUGCUGUGAAGUGUCGGGUUAAGUCCCAUAACGAGCGCAACCCCCAUUUCUAGUUGCCAGCGGUUCGGCCGGGGACUCUAGAGAAACUGCCAGCGUAAGCUGUGAGGAAGGUGGGGAUGACGUCAAAUCAUCACGGCCCUUACAUCCUGGGCCACACACGUGCUACAAUGGUGGGGACAACAGGUUGCCAACCCGCGAGGGUGAGCCAAUCCCAAAACCCCAUCUCAGUUCGGAUCGGAGUCUGCAACUCGACUCCGUGAAGUUGGAAUC
This 412-nucleotide ribosomal RNA is filed under the name uncultured bacterium. Its description in RNAcentral is "bacterial SSU rRNA". It matches the Rfam family "Bacterial small subunit ribosomal RNA", at positions 917 to 1333 of the family's 1533-position model. The record is from RNAcentral.